Molecule: long non-coding RNA, 558 nt
Organism: Homo sapiens (human)
Lineage: Eukaryota; Metazoa; Chordata; Mammalia; Primates; Hominidae
Exons: 2
Source: RefSeq, a predicted model, not a curated record
GCUAGGAAAGCACCCUUGGUGUCCCAUAUCCAGUGUGGUGACCUGUAUCCCAGGGGACCAUCGGGAGUCUCCAAACAAGCCAUGCCUUCCUCCAGCGCAUCUCCACCUGUGCUUCACUUCUGCCUGUGCCAUCCCUCCUUUCCCCACCGGGCCACUGCCAGUCACCCUGAGACAGUCAGCUCCUGGGUUACUCUUGCAGGAAACAUCCUCGGGUGCCCUGGACAUCAGUGACUGCCUCCCUGCCACACUAGACCACUGGGCCACCACACUGACAUAUGCUGCCACCGUGAUCUGUGUGGAUGUUAGACUCCUCCCCUAGGUUCCGAGCUCCUAAGGUGCAGAAAUCACUUAGAGGAUUUCCAGACUGAAGUGCUAUUUCAUGACAAGAGCACUACUCUCCCAAGCCCUUCUAUUGAAUACCACUGACUCUUUUAAUAUUAGUGUCCAGCCAUUAGUCCUUCCUUCAAAGAGACAGGGGAAUUAACAUUCGUUGCAUGACCAGAGACCAUACUAAGCAUGUAUUAGACAUCCAAUAAAUAGUUACUGAAUGAAUAGUAA